Molecule: ribosomal RNA, 474 nt
Filed under: uncultured bacterium
Lineage: Bacteria
Description: bacterial SSU rRNA
Rfam family: Bacterial small subunit ribosomal RNA
Source: RNAcentral
AUUGAACGCUGGCGGAAUGCUUUACACAUGCAAGUCGAACGGUAGAGGGGGCAACCCCCUUGAGAGUGGCGAACGGGUGAGUAAUAUAUCGGAACGUGCCCAGUCGUGGGGGAUAACGUAGUGAAAAUUACGCUAAUACCGCAUACGCCCUGAGGGGGAAAGCGGGGGGACCGUAAGGCCUCGCGCGAUUAGAGCGGCCGAUAUCUGAUUAGCUAGUUGGUAGGGUAAAGGCCUACCAAGGCGACGAUCCGUAGCGGGUCUGAGAGGAUGAUCCGCCACACUGGGACUGAGACACGGCCCAGACUCCUACGGGAGGCAGCAGUGGGGAAUUUUGGACAAUGGACGCAAGUCUGAUCCAGCAAUGCCGCGUGCAGGACGAAGGCCUCGGGUUGUAACUCUUUUAUAAGGGUACGAAAAAGGUACUUCUAGAUCGUCUGACGGUACCUUAUGAAUAAGCACCGGCUAACUACCGUG